UUCGCCCUUAGAGUUUGAUCCUGGCUCAGGACGAACGCUGGCGGCGUGCCUAACACAUGCAAGUCGAGCGGGGAACAUUGGAAGCUUGCUUUUGGUGUUUCUAGCGGCGGACGGGUGAGUAACGCGUGAGCAAUCUGUCUCAGACAGGGGGAUAACGCAGCGAAAGUUGCACUAAUACCGCAUAAGACCACAGAGCCACAUGGCUUAGGGGUCAAAGGAGCAAUCCGGUCUGAGGUGAGCUCGCGUCCCAUUAGGUAGUUGGUGAGGUAACGGCCCACCAAGCCUGCGAUGGGUAGCCGACCUGAGAGGGUGAUCGGCCACACUGGAACUGAGACACGGUCCAGACUCCUACGGGAGGCAGCAGUGGGGAAUAUUGGGCAAUGGGGGAAACCCUGACCCAGCAACGCCGCGUGAGGGAAGAAGGUUUUCGGAUUGUAAACCUCUGUCCUAAGAGAAGAGGGGAAGACGGUAUCUUAGGAGGAAGCCCCGGCUAACUACGUGCCAGCAGCCGCGGUAAUACGUAGGGGGCGAGCGUUGUCCGGAAUGAUUGGGCGUAAAGGGCGUGUAGGCGGCUUUAUAAGUCUGGAGUGAAAGUCCUGUUUUCAAGAUGGGAAUUGCUUUGGAUACUGUAGGGCUUGAGUGCAGGAGAGGUUAUCGGAAUUCCCGGUGUAGCGGUGAAAUGCGUAGAGAUCGGGAGGAACACCAGUGGCGAAGGCGGGUAACUGGACUGCAACUGACGCUGAGGCGCGAAAGUGUGGGGAGCAAACAGGAUUAGAUACCCUGGUAGUCCACACUGUAAACGAUGAAUGCUAGGUGUAGGGGGUAUCGACCCCUUCUGUGCCG
RNAcentral lists this ribosomal RNA (843 nucleotides) under uncultured bacterium. Its description in RNAcentral is "bacterial SSU rRNA". It matches the Rfam family "Bacterial small subunit ribosomal RNA", at positions 1 to 848 of the family's 1533-position model. The record is from RNAcentral.